RNAcentral lists this ribosomal RNA (490 nucleotides) under Desulfomicrobium apsheronum. RNAcentral's name for it is "bacterial SSU rRNA". It matches the Rfam family "Bacterial small subunit ribosomal RNA", at positions 391 to 874 of the family's 1533-position model. The record is from RNAcentral. Lineage: Bacteria; Pseudomonadati; Thermodesulfobacteriota; Desulfovibrionia; Desulfovibrionales; Desulfomicrobiaceae.
GCAACGCCGUGUGAGGGAUGAAGGCUUUCGGGUCGUAAACCUCUGUCGGAAGGGAAGAACGGGCAUUGGUCUAAUAGGCCUUUGUUUUGACGGUACCUUUAGAGGAAGCACCGGCUAACUCCGUGCCAGCAGCCGCGGUAAUACGGAGGGUGCAAGCGUUAUUCGGAAUUACUGGGCGUAAAGCGCACGUAGGCGGCCUUGUAAGUCAGGGGUGAAAUCCCACGGCUCAACCGUGGAACUGCCUUUGAAACUGCAGGGCUUGAAUCCUGGAGAGGGUGGCGGAAUUCCUGGUGUAGGAGUGAAAUCCGUAGAUAUCAGGAGGAACACCGGUGGCGAAGGCGGCCACCUGGACAGGUAUUGACGCUGAGGUGCGAAAGUGUGGGGAGCAAACAGGAUUAGAUACCCUGGUAGUCCACACCGUAAACGAUGGAUACUAGGUGUCGGGGACUUGAUCUUCGGUGCCGUAGCUAACGCGUUAAGUAUCCCGCCU